AUUGAACGCUGGCGGCAGGCCUAACACAUGCAAGUCGAACGAGUGGCGGACGGGUGAGUAAUGUCUGGGAAUCUGCCUUAUGGAGGGGGAUAACGACUGGAAACUGUAGCUAAUACCGCGUACCAUAGGAUGAGCCCAAGUGGGAUUAGGUAGUUGGUGGGGUAACGGCUCACCAAGGCGACGAUCUCUAGCUGGUCUGAGAGGAUGACCAGCCACACUGGGACUGAGACACGGCCCAGACUCCUACGGGAGGCAGCAGUGGGGAAUAUUGCACAAUGGGGGCAAGCCUGAUGCAGCCAUGCCGCGUGUAUGAAGAAGGCCUUCGGGUUGUAAAGUACUUUCGGUGGCGAGGCGUGAACCGCAGAAGAAGCACCGGCUAACUCCGUGCCAGCAGCCGCGGUAAUUC
Molecule: ribosomal RNA, 406 nt
Filed under: uncultured bacterium
Lineage: Bacteria
Description: partial 16S ribosomal RNA
Rfam family: Bacterial small subunit ribosomal RNA
Source: RNAcentral